RNAcentral lists this ribosomal RNA (482 nucleotides) under uncultured bacterium. RNAcentral describes it as "partial 16S ribosomal RNA". It matches the Rfam family "Bacterial small subunit ribosomal RNA", at positions 30 to 507 of the family's 1533-position model. The record is from RNAcentral.
AUUGAACGCUGGCGGCAUGCUUUACACAUGCAAGUCGAACGGUAACAGGCCGCAAGGUGCUGACGAGUGGCGAACGGGUGAGUAAUGCAUCGGAACGUGCCCAGUCGUGGGGGAUAACUACUCGAAAGAGUAGCUAAUACCGCAUACGAUCUAUGGAUGAAAGCGGGGGACCGUAAGGCCUCGCGCGAUUGGAGCGGCCGAUGUCAGAUUAGGUAGUUGGUGGGGUAAAGGCUCACCAAGCCAACGAUCUGUAGCUGGUCUGAGAGGACGACCAGCCACACUGGGACUGAGACACGGCCCAGACUCCUACGGGAGGCAGCAGUGGGGAAUUUUGGACAAUGGGCGCAAGCCUGAUCCAGCAAUGCCGCGUGCAGGAAGAAGGCCUUCGGGUUGUAAACUGCUUUUGUACGGAACGAAACGGCUCUGGUUAAUACCCGGGGCUAAUGACGGUACCAUAAGAAUAAGCACCGGCUAACUACGUG